AGAGCGAACGCUGGCGGCAGGCCUAACACAUGCAAGUCGAACGGACCCUUCGGGGUUAGUGGCGGACGGGUGAGUAACACGUGGGAACGUGCCUUUAGGUUCGGAAUAGCUCCUGGAAACGGGUGGUAAUGCCGAAUGUGCCCUUCGGGGGAAAGAUUUAUCGCCUUUAGAGCGGCCCGCGUCUGAUUAGCUAGUUGGUGAGGUAACGGCUCACCAAGGCGACGAUCAGUAGCUGGUCUGAGAGGAUGACCAGCCACACUGGGACUGAGACACGGCCCAGACUCCUACGGGAGGCAGCAGUGGGGAAUCUUGCGCAAUGGGCGAAAGCCUGACGCAGCCAUGCCGCGUGAAUGAUGAAGGUCUUAGGAUUGUAAAAUUCUUUCACCGGGGACGAUAAUGACGGUACCCGGAGAAGAAGCCCCGGCUAACUUCGUGCCAGCAGCCGC
This 446-nucleotide ribosomal RNA is filed under the name uncultured bacterium. RNAcentral describes it as "SSU rRNA". It matches the Rfam family "Bacterial small subunit ribosomal RNA", at positions 26 to 518 of the family's 1533-position model. The record is from RNAcentral.